This 318-nucleotide unclassified non-coding RNA is filed under the name Hevea brasiliensis (rubber tree). Lineage: Eukaryota; Viridiplantae; Streptophyta; Magnoliopsida; Malpighiales; Euphorbiaceae. The record is from RNAcentral.
AUUUUCCUAUCAUUGCUGACCCCUUGAAGAUCAGCCUUGUCCUCAAGGCUGAGAUAUGGAAACUGAAUUUGAAUGAAGUCCAUCCAGGUUGUUUCAUAAGGAUAAUGAAAAUCAACACCAAUAAUGGUAUUUGCAGUGCCAAUUGUGUCAACAAAUUCCAGUGGAAGUAUCUGCUCAGUUGCUUCUACAAACAACUUGUCAUUUAUUGCUCGUAUCCAUUUUGCUUUUAGCUUUAUCAAUGUCAAUGAAAAACAUGUUGUGAUGACAAUUAUAUUGUAGAAAGAGAUAAUUCUUAUGAUUUCAAUUAAUCUGUACAUG